AUACGGAGGAUGCGAGCGUUAUCCGGAUUUAUUGGGUUUAAAGGGAGCGUAGGCGGGAGCUUAAGUCAGCGGUUAAAUGGUGCGGCUCAACCGUGCCCUGCCGUUGAAACUGGGUUUCUUGAGAGUGCAAGAGGCGGAUGGAAUUCAUGGUGUAGCGGUGAAAUGCUUAGAUAUCAUGAAGAACUUCGAUUGCGAAGGCAGUCCGCUGGGGCACGUCUGACGCUGAUGCUCGAAGGUGCGGGAAUCAAACAGGAUUAGAUACCCUGGUAGUCCGCACGGUAAACGAUGAUUACCCGCUGUCGGCGGUAGACAGUCGGCGGCCAAGCGAAAGCGAUAAGUAAUCCACCUGGGGAGUACGCCGGCAACGGUGAAACUCAAAGGAAUUGACGGGG
This 392-nucleotide ribosomal RNA is filed under the name uncultured bacterium. Its description in RNAcentral is "partial 16S ribosomal RNA". It matches the Rfam family "Bacterial small subunit ribosomal RNA", at positions 523 to 918 of the family's 1533-position model. The record is from RNAcentral.